AUUGAACGCUGGCGGCAGUCCUAACACAUGCAAGUCGAGCGACGCGGCGGACGGGUGAGCAAUGCCUAGGAAUCUGCCUGGUAGUGGGGGAUAACGUCCGGAAACGGGCGAUAAUACCGCAUACUAUCAGAUGAGCAUAGGUCGGAUUAGCUAGUUGGGGGGGAAAAGGCCUACCAAGGAUACGAUCCGUAACUGGUCUGAGAGGAUGAUCAGUCACACUGGAAGUGAGAAACGGUCCAGACUCAGACGGGAGGCAGCAGUGGGGAAUAUUGGACAAGGGGCGAAAGCCAGAGCCAGCCAUGCCGAAUGGGUGAAGAAGGUCGUCGGAUUGUAAAGAACUUUAAGUUGGGAGGCGUUACUAACAGAUUAAGCAACGGCGAACUACGUGCCAGCCGCCGCGGUAAUUC
RNAcentral lists this ribosomal RNA (407 nucleotides) under uncultured bacterium. RNAcentral's name for it is "partial 16S ribosomal RNA". It matches the Rfam family "Bacterial small subunit ribosomal RNA", at positions 29 to 526 of the family's 1533-position model. The record is from RNAcentral.